Molecule: ribosomal RNA, 253 nt
Filed under: uncultured bacterium
Lineage: Bacteria
Description: partial 16S ribosomal RNA
Rfam family: Bacterial small subunit ribosomal RNA
Source: RNAcentral
UACGUAGGGUGCAAGCGUUAUCCGGAUUCACUGGGCUUAAAGGGUGCGUAGGUGGGCAGGUAAGUCAGUGGUGAAAUCCUUGAGCUUAACUCGAGAACUGCCAUUGAUACUAUCUGUCUUGAAUGUUGUGGAGGUGAGCGGAAUAUGUCAUGUAGCGGUGAAAUGCUUAGAUAUGACAUAGAACAUCCAUUGCGAAGGCAGCUCACUACGCAAAUAUUGACACUGAGGCACGAAAGCGUGGGGAUCAAACAGG